This 65-nucleotide transfer RNA is filed under the name Tuxedo nicholi. RNAcentral describes it as "tRNA-Pro". Lineage: Eukaryota; Metazoa; Arthropoda; Insecta; Hemiptera; Miridae. The record is from RNAcentral.
CAGUGGUUAGUUUAAUUAAAAUAUUAAUUUUGGAGAUUAAAGAUGAGUUUAUCUCUUACCGCUGA